RNAcentral lists this ribosomal RNA (440 nucleotides) under uncultured bacterium. RNAcentral describes it as "partial 16S ribosomal RNA". It matches the Rfam family "Bacterial small subunit ribosomal RNA", at positions 338 to 795 of the family's 1533-position model. The record is from RNAcentral.
CCUACGGGAGGCAGCAGUGGGGAAUAUUGCACAAUGGGGGAAACCCUGAUGCAGCGACGCCGCGUGAGCGAUGAAGUAUUUCGGUAUGUAAAGCUCUAUCAGCAGGGAAGAAGAUGACGGUACCUGACUAAGAAGCCGCGGCUAACUACGUGCCAGCAGCCGCGGUAAUAAGUAGGGGGCAAGCGUUAUCCGGAUUUACUGGGUGUAAAGGGAGCGUAGAGGGCGAUGCAAGCCAGAUGUGAAAGCCCUGGGCUCAACCCCGGGAGUGCAUUUGGAACUGUGUGGCUGGAGUGGGGGAGAGGUAGGCGGAAUGCGUGGUGUAGCGGUGAAAUGCGUAGAUAUUAGGAGGAACACCAGUGGCGAAGGCGGCGUGCUGGACGAUGACUGACGUUGAGGCUCGAAAGCGUGGGGAGCAAACAGGAUUAGAUACCCUAGUAGUC